UUAAUUCUCUUUGUCUCCUCCAUUCCUCGUCUUAUAUGUUCUCAUCAUCAUCACAACAACCACCCUCCUUUGUCCAUUUUACUCAUGGUAAUUACUUUUCAACUUCACUAUACUUUAAUUAAUAAUCUAUUUUUCAUUCAAUUAUUAAAUUAGGGGUUAUGUUUUCAUAACUGCAAGUAUUUUUGUAUUUUUUUUUUUGUUAUUGAUGCAAAAUGUAUUUU
Molecule: long non-coding RNA, 221 nt
Filed under: Lathyrus oleraceus (garden pea)
Lineage: Eukaryota; Viridiplantae; Streptophyta; Magnoliopsida; Fabales; Fabaceae
Description: Pisum sativum (pea) long non-coding RNA (PSAT_LNC001114)
Source: RNAcentral